Eriocheir sinensis (Chinese mitten crab) is the source of this 1069-nucleotide long non-coding RNA. RefSeq lists it as uncharacterized. The transcript has 4 exons. NCBI's taxonomy places the organism in Eukaryota, Metazoa, Arthropoda, Malacostraca, Decapoda, Varunidae. The record is from RefSeq and is a predicted model, not a curated record.
UGCCCGGGUUUGUAUAGAGUUUGCUCUCCUAGGUGAAUUGCCUACCACGGCUAACGACCUCCACCUGCCCGGGUUUGUUUAGAGUUUGCUCUCCUAGGUGAAUUGCCUCCCACGGCUGACGAGCUCCACCUGCCCGGGUUUAUUGUUCGGAGUUUGCUCUCCUAGGUGAAUUGCCUACCACGGCUAACGACCUCCACCUGCCCGGGUUUGUUGUUCGGAGUUUGCUCUCCUAGGCAGAUUGCCUACCACGGCUGACGAGCUCCACCUGCCCGGGUUUGUUGUUCGGAGUUUGCUCUCCUAGGCAGAUUGCCUACCACGGCUGACGAGCUCCACCUGCCCGGGUUUGUUGUUCGGAGUUUGCUCUCCUAGGUGAAUUGCCUACCACGGCUAACGACCUCCACCUGCCCGGGUUUGUUUAGAGUUUGCUCUCCUAGGUGAAUUGCCUCCCACGGCUGACGACCUCCACCUGCCCGGGUUUGUAUAGAGUUUGCUCUCCUAGGUGAAUUGCCUACCACGGCUAACGACCUCCACCUGCCCGGGUUUGUAUAGAGUUUGCUCUCCUAGGUGAAUUGCCUACCACGGCUAACGACCUCCACCUGCCCGGGUUUGUUUAGAGUUUGCUCUCCUAGGUGAAUUGCCUCCCACGGCUGACGAGCUCCACCUGCCCGGGUUUAUUGUUCGGAGUUUGCUCUCCUAGGUGAAUUGCCUACCACGGCUAACGACCUCCACCUGCCCGGGUUUGUUUAGAGUUUGCUCUCCUAGGUGAAUUGCCUACCACGGCUAACGACCUCCACCUGCCCGGGUUUGUUUAGAGUUUGCUCUCCUAGGUGAAUUGCCUCCCACGGCUAACGACCUCCACCUGCCCGGGUUUGUUUAGAGUUUGCUCUCCUAGGUGAAUUGCCUACCACGGCUAACGACCUCCACCUGCCCGGGUUUGUUUAGAGUUUGCUCUCCUAGGUGAAUUGCCUACCACGGCUAACGACCUCCACCUGCCCGGGUUUGUUUAGAGUUUGCUCUCCUAGGUGAAUUGCCUACCACGGCUAACGACCUCCACCUGCCCGGGUUUGUA